Molecule: ribosomal RNA, 238 nt
Filed under: uncultured bacterium
Lineage: Bacteria
Description: partial 16S ribosomal RNA
Rfam family: Bacterial small subunit ribosomal RNA
Source: RNAcentral
CCGCCCUACGGGGCGCAGCAGUAGGGAAUCUUCCACAAUGGACGAAAGUCUGAUGGAGCAACGCCGCGUGAGUGAAGAAGGGUUUCGGCUCGUAAAGCUCUGUUGGUAGUGAAGAAAGAUAGAGGGAGUAACUGGCCUUUAUUUGACGGGAAUUACUUAGAAAGACACGGGUAACUAAGUGGCAGCAGCCGCGGUAAUACGGAGGUGGGAAGCGUUAGCCGGAUUUAUUGGGCGUAAA